RNAcentral lists this ribosomal RNA (253 nucleotides) under uncultured bacterium. RNAcentral's name for it is "partial 16S ribosomal RNA". It matches the Rfam family "Bacterial small subunit ribosomal RNA", at positions 524 to 776 of the family's 1533-position model. The record is from RNAcentral.
UACAGAGGGUGCGAGCGUUAAUCGGAAUUACUGGGCGUAAAGGGCGCGUAGGCGGUGAUACAUGUGUGAUGUGAAAGCCCCGGGCUUAACCUGGGAAGUGCAUCGCAAACUGUGUUACUGGAGUAUAUGAGAGGGUGGCGGAAUUUCCGGUGUAGCGGUGAAAUGCGUAGAGAUCGGAAGGAACGUCGAUGGCGAAGGCAGCCACCUGGCAUAAUACUGACGCUGAGGCGCGAAAGCGUGGGGAGCGAACAGG